AUGAAAUCGGAUCACAGGUGCAAAAGAUCGAAGGUUGGUGAUGAUGUUGAAUCAAUGAAUAUGAUGAAGGAGGUGUUGAAGAUCGAAGAUCAAAGCAGGAAUCAACCCAUCCCCCUCAAUUCUGUUGGAGUUCUCUUAUAUACUUGCUGCAAGUUUGUUAGAGACUCUAGUAUACUAAGUCAUGAGCAGGGCAAGGCGAAUCUGGGCAGCAGGUUGGCAUCCGUCUUGAUGCAAGUUUUGAAUCUUGGACACGGCGUAAAGCUUUAG
Molecule: non-coding RNA, 267 nt
Organism: Vicia faba (fava bean)
Lineage: Eukaryota; Viridiplantae; Streptophyta; Magnoliopsida; Fabales; Fabaceae
Source: the annotation of a GenBank genome assembly